UCCCGCCGAACAAACCCAGGCAAGAGAGGGAAUAAACCCGCGGUUUGGGAUGAGCUUUGAGGCCCAUCCCCGAGCAAGCGCCGGGCUGCGGAGAGCGGCCGCCCCGCACCGAGCCCCGGCGGGCCCGCAGCCCAGGCCGAGUCGAAACAAGUGACACAACUUGUCGCCGGGUCGGUGGCGGCCCCGGCGGAGGGGAAGGGCUGGGGAGAGGGGAGGUGCGGGGGGACGCCCGCGGUCCCCGCCGCCCGCGAGCGGCCGCGCUGAGCGAGGCGGGGGGUGCGGGGGGGGGUGGCGGCCGGGCAGCGCGGCGAGAGCGGGCGCCCCCCAGCCGUGCCCGCGUCCCGGUGCUGCAUGGCGCUGCUCAGCCUGCCUUGCAGAGGGAGCUCGAGUCCCGCUCUGCGCCUCGCAGCGCCUCUCACUCCGCAGCACACGCCAGCGCAGCGAGGCGGCGGCCGGCAGGAGCGGGACACGCAGCCGCCGCCGCCGCCCCGCGGGCGGGAGCCGAGCGGACGGCGAGGGAAGCCGCGGGUGGAGGGCGCCGGGCCGAGCCCCGCUGAGGGACAGAGGUGAGGCUGACCGGUCUAUAAUUACCCGGGUCCUCCUUCUUGCCCUUUUUGAAGACUGGAGUAACGUUUGCUUUCCUCCAAUCCUCGGGCACCUCCCCCAUUUCCCAAGACUUGGCAAAGAUGAUGGAGAGCGGUCCAGCAAUGACUUCAGCCAGCUCCCUCAGCACCCGCGGAUGCAUCCCAUCCGGACCCGUGGAUUUAUGGAUGUCCAGACUAUUUAAUUGCUCCCUAAAGUUACUGGAAUUAGACAGUAUUUGACUGAUGUUUUAAAGGACCUUGGACUUCCCAAGCUCAUAAUCGAAUGGGAUGUACUGCUCGCUUUAGCUUCAGCGCUGCAGGAAUGGCAAAUGUGGUGCCAGGUGUUAAGUAGAGAGCACCUAGAGAAGUUAACAAGGUUGGGUCCUGCCCAUCAGGAGUCAGGCACCACAGCGUUUUCUGUCCACAACUUUCUCCCUACACCCCCAAAAGGUGGAAGCAGCCAUGGCAUCCACAGUGAGAUGCAUAAAGGUAUAUGUGAAAGCACAGACACUCAUGAGUCUUUCAUUUGCUGCAGUUUCCUGUGUUGCUGAAUCUUCUAGCUUUAACAUACUUUCUCAUCUCCAGUAGCGUUGUUGCAGAGUUGUAGCUGAUUGACAGGCAAGCUGAGAGGAGGGGAAACUUCUGUGAGCUCAUGCUGCAUCCUUUUUGUAUUGUCUUACCAUAAAAACACAUAAAAUGGAGCCGGAGUAAUGGUUUAAAAUAUUGAUAGUACAAAGAUAAGAUACAUUGGAGGGAAGCUGCAUUUCUGCCUCCCUUUGCUCGCUUAUCAAUCCCUGGAUGAUAGUAAGGCCAGGAAUUCAGAGAAAAGACUAAAUGUGAAGGAAGCCCAACACAAACUAAUGCUGGAAGGACUAAAGAGUUACAAAGCUGCCACAGUUGAAACUGAUACUAAAAAUCUUGCCCCAACUUUUUCCCUAUUUAGAUGUCCCUACCGGGGCAGAGCAAAAGCUGUUCAAGAGCUUCAGCUUUACCCCAACCUGCUUAGCAAGUGACAGAACCAUCAGGCAAGUGUAGCAGAUAUUAGCGUGUAAAUUGUGCCCUUAAAUCCUAGUCCGAAUAAUGUCGGUGUCCUGUUGAUCUGUGUGGCGGAAAGAAGGGUCUGCCCGGCUGCUGCGUGCUGAGGAGGUGGUGGUGAGUGAGGACAUCAGCACCUGACCCUGCUUCACAGGUUUCUCCUGCCUCAGCUCUCCUCAUCGUUGAGAAGAAGCAGAGCACCAGCGGCAGUGCCGACAGCAGCGCUGGGAGUGCCGAUACUCCCUUCCGGGCUGUGCACAACUGAGACCAAGUUCCCUUCUGAGGAUUAAGACACCAAGCUGAGUGCAUUAAUUCAUUACAGUGGGUGAACUGUCACUUACUGAGCGGCCAGAGGGGACGAGCUGUGUUGAGUCACGAGGAUGCAGCUUUGUUUCUUCAACCUCGGCUGAAGGAGAAAAUAAUUAGUUACAAAGCAAUGGCAAAAAGUGACAAUUAAUUACAAGGUGACAGGGUGUAGCCUCCAACUGUGACCUCCAGGGUCUUCAUUGCAUGAGAAAUCUAAAUCACAGGAACAAAAGAUCCUGAGUUGGCAGGAACUCCUGAGGAUCUUCGAGUCCAACUCCUGUUGGACUAUUAAAUGCUUUGCUAAAAUGAAAGAAGAAACCCCACAUCGAUUGCCUUCCCUUUGUCCAUGAGGCAGGUUGUUGCAAGAGGAUAUUAAGUCAGUAUGGCGUGGAUAAUCUGCUAAGAACAUUUCUGGGGAAACGAGAUUCUGUACUGUGAAUUUUUAAAAAGUCAUUUACAUUUAUUCUAAGCUGUCAACCCAUCACAUCUCAUGCUAUAAUUUUAGGGAGAAUGGUGUAUCUUUUGUGUCUAGCCAUAAAUCCUGCUUUAAGCUCAAAACUUAGUUCAGACACGAAUCAAAAUGGAGAGGAGCAUGAACUAUGUGUAAAAUAGCUUCUUAUGCUCCUUUAAACAUUCACCUGGGGCUGGGAGUGAACGAGUGCUGAUGAUCCCCCUGCUUUUGUUUGUAGCCAUGCUAUGACAAAUGAUCGUUUGGCUUUUGUUGUAGAAAUGUCUCUGCUUAGGAAACAGAAGUUGUUCUAGCAAAUACCUAUUCCUGGACUUCUUCUGCCAGAAGUGUCCCAGACCACCUAUUCAGCAACAUGUGCUGGGGGUAUGACCUGUCGAUCUUGGGUUUCUUACUUGGAGCUGCUUUUGAGCUGAUCUGCAGAGGAUUCAAGCCCCCAACUUCAGUCCUGAUUGUGGGUGCUCCUGAAAAUCGGCCUCCAAGCCUGUCCAAAUUAGACAUCCAGAGGCAGAUGCUCCUUCUAGAACAGCUGCCUGAGCAAGGCCUUUCCCUUUCCCAGAGACACCUUGCCCAGGAGCAGAACGGUGUGAACUGAAGCUGAGGAGCUCCUGACCACCUUGCCGAGACCCCAGGUGAACUCAUCCCUCUCGUUCCCUGCUGGUUGUAGCUCCAUGCUUCCAUCCCCCUCAUGCUGUACAAGCCCUCAAGAGUCACCAUCCCUCUCCUCCCUCAGCAUUAAGGAAGACAGUAGUGGAACUGGAGAGCCAGCAUUCAAUUAAGUUUUGGAGUCUGCCCGGAGUGCGCUUUGGUCUCUGUAUGAAAUGAGGCCCUAGCUGUCACCCUAAGAGUGGUCCUUGGAGAACAAGCCCGUACAUAUGUGCCUGACAGCCCUGUGAAGAACACGUCAGUGAUCAUGAGGAGGUUGUUGCUUUGCUGUGGUUCAAUGCAGCCUACUUAGCUGCUCAAAUAAUUUCAAAGUACCAUAGUGAAUGCCUUAGAAACAUUAUUUCAUACAAGCCUGAGAUACGGUGAGAGGUCCAACUUUUGAGGCUGCUUAAACUGGAAAUUCCCAAAGUACAACCUCCUAAAAAUGAGUUGGCAUAAAGAUUUAAGUCAUUUCUUACAUGAAGGCUGAUCAGAGCUUGAGGCUUUUCAAAGUGACAGUGUCUGCUUGGGGUCAUUCUGGCUGGUGGGUACUCUUGAUGUCACAACCUGGGCAGCUGCCCCAGCCCUGGUGCUGUGCAAGAGGAGGUGAGGUUGGCUGAUCACUUAUUUUGUGCUGAUGGUCUACAGGGGUUCCGCAGGAUGCUACUCUGAGACCAGCAGUUAAAAACCAACACAGCAAAGCACUCCAGAAUCCAUAUGCCACCCUUUAAUUAAAAAAAUCAGUAGAUGGGGAAAAGGAACAUCUUUCCCAAGCCGGAGCACAUGGGUAAUGUAACCGUGACAAAGACACCCUCCCACGGGCUGCAGCUUCUACAAGAAAAGCAAGUAGCUGCUGAGCACAAGCACGUCGCUACGAGAGGGAGAUGUUUGAAGCACUGACAGUGAUUUGGCUGACAAACGUGGUGCUGGCACACUGUCUCCUUUGAAACAGCAAACAUGCCGCCACAAAAUGCGCUCUGCGGUGCUGCGCCUGUCCGUGUGUGCUGUGAGAGCGGCUCCUGGGGAGUUCAGCCCACGAAGUGGUGCAGUUCCUGCGCAAGGACUGGGGGAGACGUCAAGUCCCAGAGGGAAGAGCUGAGUCCCCUGCGUCCUUUCAAACAGCUGCCUGUUGUGAUUGUUGUCCUGCUCCGCCCCAGAUCUCAAAUUAAAAAAAAACAACAAACAAGCAGGAUUCAAACUGCAGUGAAUGUUUUGAAUGCUGUACAAAAAAACCAAGAUUUUUGGGUUUUUUUGAGUUUAUUCCAGUCAAAAUAGCAAUCCUGCAAUUCCAGGUGACCUGGCAGUGUCCAUGGGCAGAGGUCUUUGGUGGUGCUGGCACGGACCUAUUCAGAGAAAGGGGCUGGGCAACAGAUUUCUAAAUUAAUCUGUUUGGAGGUUUUUCCCCAGAUGUUCUUAAAGCCACAGAAAUAAUGAGAUUAUGCCUUGCUGUUCCAGGAGCAGAGUCAUUUUGUCCUGCCUGCCUUGACAGAAGGCUGCUUUCCUGCUCUGAUCUCAUGGGGAGGAUACCCACGUAGGUGAGUGUAUUGAAUUUGUGGCUCUGGCCACUGGAUCACUGGGCUCUUUUUUAUUUCCAGGAGUUAUUCAGAGGAAGAAGAAUCCAAAACAAAUGUAUAAGAUGUCUGGGCCACUUUCCACCUCUCGGAUGCUCUUGUCCACAGUUGUAUGUGCCAGCUGGGACCCACAUCUCUUGCUGCCUACAGCUGACAGUGCGAUGCAGUGCUUCGGGAGAAACACUGCUCUUCCCUCCUGGGGCUUGUCCAGCCCUCACAGCAGGUAGAAGAAGGCUAAGCUUGCAGCGAUGCAGCAAAGCGUCCACUGGUUGCCCCCUUCCCACAAUCCCGUCUGCAGAUAAAACCACAUCCCAAAGUGGUUACGCUGCGGCGUGUCCCAUGGGGACAAGCCGUGCACCACGAUGUCACGAGCACAGUGCUGCAGGCUGGCUGUGGUAGUGGCAUUCUGCCAGAGCCAGCCCAAAAGGCUCUGCUAAAUUGAGGAAAAAGGAGGCUGUAACGUGCUGGGACUUGCUCAGAAACCCCAGGAAGCACUGAUGAACAGACCCUGCUUGUCCUGGGGGCCAUAAAUCCCCAGCUUCAGCACGAGCGGCCGGUGGCGCCACAGGGCAGUGCCAUGGGGGUCUCUGCUUUUGUGGCUCUAACCUAUUCCCCACUCCCCUCCCAGGGCUGUAAGGGCCAUUAAGAUGAUUAAGGGAUUGGAGCAGCUGUCUUUAGGAAGAGACUGAGAGAGCUGGGACUGUUUAACUUGGAAAAAUGAAGGCUGGGCGGUAAAGAAGACAGAGUUGAAUGCUCCUCAGUGGUGCCCAAUGCACCAAACCAAAACUGAAGUACAGGGGUUUGAGUUUGACUUCAGAAAAGCUUUUUCUCUGAGGGUAGUCAAGCACUGACACAGGCUGGCCCAUGAAGUUCUGGCAUCUCUGUCCUUGAAGAUACUCAAAACCUAACCAGAUGUGGACCCGAGCUCUAGUAGACCCUGCUUUGACCAGCAAGGAAUGGAUGAGUAUUUCCAAAGGUCUAUUCCCACCUCAGCUAUUCUGUGAAUCUUUGAUUUGUCGUGGCUUGGUGACAAGAUGUGCACCAAGAGGUGCUAAAUCAUUGAGAUAGAUUAAAAAAACAGUUCAGCUUCAUCCCCCAACUUUCUGGACCCUUAUUUGGGGCUGGGCACCAUGCUGUGUUCCCACCACAGGUACAGGAGACAGUAGAAAGUGGGGCUGUUCCUGGGGCAGCCCUGGUUUCGGUGGCUCACUGGGCUGGGCACCCGCAUCUCAGCAACUCCUGCAAAGCUCUUGCAAAAGCCAAAGAAACACCCGCACAGUGACACCAUCGCUCAUUAAAGGUUUGUUUUUAUUUCUGGUUUAAAAUCAAAAUUAGUUGUUCUCUGUAAUUACAUUAUAUAUAGAUUUAUAGAGACCUUAUAGAAAAGAAUUUUUUGCUUUUGUUUUUCUGCAAAAAUCUGUAAAUAAAAAAUAAAAUAAAACAGCAACAACAAAAAAAAAAA
Columba livia (rock pigeon) is the source of this 6069-nucleotide long non-coding RNA. RefSeq lists it as uncharacterized. The transcript is spliced from 2 exons. NCBI's taxonomy places the organism in Eukaryota, Metazoa, Chordata, Aves, Columbiformes, Columbidae. The record is from RefSeq and is a predicted model, not a curated record.